Molecule: long non-coding RNA, 487 nt
Organism: Neogale vison (American mink)
Lineage: Eukaryota; Metazoa; Chordata; Mammalia; Carnivora; Mustelidae
Exons: 2
Source: RefSeq, a predicted model, not a curated record
AGGGAGCGCAGGGCUGGGCUCCGGCCUCUCCCACAGCACUCACGUGUCCCCUUCCUGGGGAGCAUCCCGCACGCACGCAACACAGUGUUGUGAAGGCUCUAGAAUCAGCAGAGGCUGGUGUUGGACCCGUGAGAGGAACCGAGAACCCAAGAUGCAGCAUAAAAGCCACGCAGAGAAGCCAAGACGGGAGCAGAGAAAACUAACCCCCUUUAACGAGCGCAGCCUCACUGCGGAGAAGCGCGCGUGAGGCUCAGUCAAGAGGCCUGUAGAGACGGCAGGAGACAGGAAAGGCCCUGGCCGCCUGGGCGGACAGCGGGAGCCACGCCUGCCCCAUAACUGUGCCCGGGGCCUCCCCAGACCCCUGCUGGCCACGACCGCCUGCAAGUCCAGAACCCCAGGCUCUGCCAUCCGGAAACUCCAGGCGCUCAGCAGAACUCACCUCCUUCCAGUGGGGAAAGCCUUCCCGGAAUAAACCUGGUUAGCUCGC